RNAcentral lists this ribosomal RNA (397 nucleotides) under uncultured bacterium. RNAcentral describes it as "bacterial SSU rRNA". It matches the Rfam family "Bacterial small subunit ribosomal RNA", at positions 361 to 772 of the family's 1533-position model. The record is from RNAcentral.
AUAUUGGACAAUGGGGGGAACCCUUAUCCAGCGACGCCGCGUGAGUGAAGAAGUAUCUCGGUAUGUAAAGCUCUGUCAGCAGGGAAGAAAGAAAUGACGGUACCUGACCAAGAAGCCCCGGCUAACUACUUGCCAGCAGCCGCGGUAAUACGUAGGGGGCAAGCGUUAUCCGGAAUCACUUGGUGUAAAGGGAGCGUAGACGGUGGUGCAAGUCUGGAGUGAAAGGCAGGGGCUCAACCCCUGGACUGCUCUGGAAACUGUAUGACUGGAGUGCAGGAGAGGUAAGUGGAAUUCCUAGUGUAGCGGUGAAAUGCGUAGAUAUUAGGAGGAACACCAGUGGCGAAGGCGGCUUACUGGACUGUAACUGACGUUGAGGCUCGAAAGCGUGGGGAGCAAA